ACCAUGGUCCGUGUACGGAUCUGGUAAUUGGAUAUUCCGUUCUGAAACAGACCGGAAGUGGUCAUCAGCAAGUGUGGAGCCAAACGACAAGAUUCUCAGAGGGCGGAGCCAGAGAGCAGUGAUUGGUCAGACCAUAGAUACUAUAGAAGACAGCGCGCUAGCGUAUCCAGUCUGCUUUAUAUAUCUAUGGUUAGCACGUCUGGUAGCAUCUCUGGCUGCUGUUGACCUUCUUUUUGGAGUAAAACACGGUGGAAGCUGAAUUAGUGAGGAUGACUCCUGCUCCUGUCAUCUCUAAGCUCCUCACACAUCUUUACCUGCACAUGAGGAAAAUCACUCCUGUAGAAUGCAGAUGUUCAGAAGGAGAUGAUGCCACAUCUGGUCCAGACGAUGGAAGGUCUUGAAGUUCUCUGACUGGCCUCGACUGAAGAUGGUCGUCUCACUGGAUUUAAGGUUCAGAUGCUCAGUAACAAACUCCACCAAUGAGCCAACAGGGAAGCUUUAGGUUUAUUAAAUGUUGCUAUGAAGGUUUCGCUGUUUUUCUUUGUGAAUGCAAUGUGCUCCAACUGAAACUUGAAUUAGAACUUAGAAGUAAAUCCUUCCAUCUGAAAGGUUUUAGUUGCAUUAAUAACCUCAUAACAUUCUAAUUUUUAUUCCAGUCUUGGUUGGAAAUAGAAUCUCUGGAUUGAUUCAGGUAAAAACUGAACUUCACAGCAUGUUGCAGCAAAACAACCAGAUGAAAACUGUGAUGGUGUUGGAUUGUCAGACCGUAAUGUUGCAGCUCAAAGCAGCUUUUCUAGCUCAGUUCAUUCUGACAUUCAGCUAUGAAUCAACACAGCAGAUGGUGAUCCAUGCUGUGGAAGUCUCACAUCUCCUGAUUUAAUGGAGCUGCUUUGCACUUUUUACACUGUUUAUUCACCAACACUUUAUUUAAUAAAAGUCCCAUCUAGUUUUUAUGAGGAAUGUGAUGCUUUAAUUUCUCUGUGAAUAACUGCAGUCUAAUGCAACAGCUGGAAUUGUAACAUCUGUCCUGAUAUUGAUCAUGAAGUAUUGAUCAGAAUACUUAUGGUCAGCAGUCAUCCCUGAAGUUUUACUUUAAAAUCUUUACUUGUGAUGUGAACUUUGGUAAGAAGCAGAAACUUUUGCGUUGCCAUGGAUACAUGAGUGUUAAAUUCUGUCCAUGUUUCCAUUUUGGGAAAUUCAGUCCAGCAGAUGAGUUUGUUUUUACUGCCAGCUACCAUUCAGUCUGAGAUAUUAAGAAUAAAUAAAUAUGUAUAAUGUGGAAAUUAACAGAGUUUAUUUUUAUUUAUUCCUACACCUGCUGCAUUUAAAGUUCCAGAAUGUGGAGGAAUUUAGGAUCACAAUAACAGACAAUAAUAUUAUCUGAAAGUCGGGUUAUUGUUGUUUAUCAGCACAAUACAAAAAGAUUAAUGUUAGAAAUAUUCCAGUUAAGACUCUAGAAUAUCAUGAUUUAUCUAAAUUUACCUCAAUAAUAUGAAUGUUCAGGUUAAGAUUGUACAGUGAUAUUUAUUAUGUAAG
Amphiprion ocellaris (clown anemonefish) is the source of this 1536-nucleotide long non-coding RNA. NCBI's taxonomy places the organism in Eukaryota, Metazoa, Chordata, Actinopteri, Pomacentridae. The record is from Ensembl.